CUUCCCAUCACUUCCCCUCUUCUCCUCCUGCCUCUGGGCUGGGAGGGCUCCCAGAGCCUUUGAGGAGACGCUGCUGUGAAAGCCAAAGGGGAGCUGGGAGCUCCAGGAGCUGCUGCUGCUGCCAGAGGACAGGGACAAGGUGCGGUUUCCUCGGCUCGGCCCCGGGAUGCAGCCCGCGGCUCUGCAGAGCCUGUCCGAGCUGGAGAGAGCCGGUCUGCAGGAGCUGGCGCUGUUCCGGCUGCAGGAGAGGCUGCCCGGGGCACAGCUGAGCCUGGACAGAGAUGGCUCCAGAGGCAUCAAAUCCAUCCGGCAGAAGCUGGAGAGCUUCUCCAAGGACAGGAAAG
This is a long non-coding RNA of Ficedula albicollis (Collared flycatcher), 344 nucleotides long. RefSeq lists it as uncharacterized. The record is from RefSeq and is a predicted model, not a curated record. The transcript is spliced from 3 exons. NCBI's taxonomy places the organism in Eukaryota, Metazoa, Chordata, Aves, Passeriformes, Muscicapidae.